RNAcentral lists this ribosomal RNA (467 nucleotides) under uncultured bacterium. RNAcentral's name for it is "partial 16S ribosomal RNA". It matches the Rfam family "Bacterial small subunit ribosomal RNA", at positions 28 to 507 of the family's 1533-position model. The record is from RNAcentral.
GACGAACGCUGGCGGCGUGCUUAACACAUGCAAGUCGAACGGAAAGGCCUCUUUCGGGGGGUACUCGAGUGGCGAACGGGUGAGUAACACGUGAGUAACCUGCCCUUGACUUUGGGAUAACUUCAGGAAACUGGGGCUAAUACCGGAUAGGAGCUCCUUCUGCAUGGUGGGGGUUGGAAAGUUUCGGCGGUUGGGGGUGGACUCGCGGCGUAUCAGCUUGUUGGUGGGGUAGUGGCUGACCAAGGCUUUGACGGGUAGCCGGCCUGAGAGGGUGACCGGCCACAUUGGGACGUAGAUACGGCCCAGACUCCGACGGGAGGCAGCAGUGGGGAAUAUUGCACAAUGGGUGGAAGCCUGAUGCAGCAACGCCGUGUGCGGGAUGACGGUCUUCGGGUUGUAAAACGCUUUCGCUCAUGACGAAGCUUUGUGUGACGGUAGUGGGUAAAGAAGCACCGGCUAACUACGUG